CCUACGGGUGGCAGCAGUGAGGAAUAUUGGUCAAUGGGCGGAAGCCUGAACCAGCCAAGUCGCGUGAGGGAAUAAGGCCCUACGGGUCGUAAACCUCUUUUGCCGGGGAGCAAGGGCGGGGACGUGUCCCCGCCCGGAGAGUACCCGGAGAAAAAGCACCGGCUAACUCCGUGCCAGCAGCCGCGGUAAUACGGAGGAUGCGAGCGUUAUCCGGAUUUAUUGGGUUUAAAGGGUGCGUAGGCGGGCUUUUAAGUCAGCGGUAAAAAUUCGGGGCUCAACCCCGGCCGGCCGUUGAAACUGGGAGCCUUGAGUGGGCGAGAAGAAGGCGGAAUGCGUGGUGUAGCGGUGAAAUGCAUAGAUAUCACGCAGAACCCCGAUUGCGAAGGCAGCCUGCCGGCGCCCUACUGACGCUGAGGCACGAAAGUGCGGGGAUCGAACAGGAUUAGAUACCCUUGUAGUC
This 460-nucleotide ribosomal RNA is filed under the name uncultured bacterium. RNAcentral describes it as "partial 16S ribosomal RNA". It matches the Rfam family "Bacterial small subunit ribosomal RNA", at positions 338 to 795 of the family's 1533-position model. The record is from RNAcentral.